RNAcentral lists this long non-coding RNA (609 nucleotides) under Nicotiana benthamiana. RNAcentral's name for it is "long non-coding RNA (NBEN_LNC034267)". The record is from RNAcentral. Lineage: Eukaryota; Viridiplantae; Streptophyta; Magnoliopsida; Solanales; Solanaceae.
UCCUGUUUAGUCCAAAUUACACAGUCCAAAUUUUAUAUAAGUACACAUCAAAAUUUAAAUUACAUUAUUAAACCAUUACAUAGCAUUUAAGACCUAUUUGACUAUAAAACACAGCAAUCCAAACAGGUACCAUUCAGGAAGCAGAUGUCUGAGCAUUUCAUUCCAUUUUCAUCUUAAAGCUAUAUCAAGUUGAGUUCAAUUGUGUACCUGGAAUUACAACAAAUGAAUACCAAUGAGUAAUGUAGGUAGGAAGCAAUAGCAGUAACAAAUUCAGCUCAGCAAAUGUAGCGAUGAAUCCAAACAUGAAACCCAAGAGCAAACAAAGAGUUUUUCUCAAAAUAAACCAGGAUCCACGUAGCUUUAACACAGAUGAUUCCAAGAUAAGUUCAAAAGUGGUUGAUGCUAAUAGAAUAGUAGUUUUUACCCCUUUUUCUUUUUGUGUUUUUAAGUUUUCAGCAGAUUUCCCCGGAAUCAGAUCUACUAUUUUGAUUUUUGCUCUUGUAUUUGGGACUGAUUCAGAAGGAUUUUUCUGGAACGUUUUUCUGAAGACUUUGGAUUCCAAUUUUUCCAGAGAUUUUUAGGGGGGCUAAACUGGUGGGAAUUUCAGAG